GACUCGUAGCUAAGUGGAUAAAGUGAUGGCAUUUGAAGGGAAAGGUACUGGAUUCGAGUCCCAGAGUGAACA
This 72-nucleotide transfer RNA is filed under the name Schistosoma mansoni. Lineage: Eukaryota; Metazoa; Platyhelminthes; Trematoda; Strigeidida; Schistosomatidae. The record is from RNAcentral.